GUUACUUUGGUAGCACAUAGUAAAUUGGAACAAUACAGAGAACAGUAGGACGGCCCUUAGGUCAGCAUGACAUGCACAUUUGUGAAGGUUUUCUCUCUGUC
Thalassophryne amazonica is the source of this 101-nucleotide small nuclear RNA. Lineage: Eukaryota; Metazoa; Chordata; Actinopteri; Batrachoidiformes; Batrachoididae. The record is from RefSeq and is a predicted model, not a curated record.